GUCCUUCACGAGGUUGCUGCAUGGGCUGUCGUCAGCUCGUGCCGUGAGGUGUUGGGUCAAGUCCCGCAACGAGCGCAACCCUCGUGCUAUGUUGAUUUCUCAUAGCAGACUGCCUUGUACAGCAAGGAGGAAGGUGGGAUGACGUCAAGUCAGCAUGGCCUUUAUGCCCUGGGCUACACACACGCUACAAUGGGUGGGAACAGAGGGUUGCCACGGAGCAAUUCGGAGCUAAUCCCUUAAAACCAUCCUCAGUUCGGAUUGCAGGCUGCAAUCGCCUGCAUGAAGCCGGAGCUGCUAGUAACCGCAGGUCAGCUAUACUGCGGUGAAUACGUUCUCGGGCCUU
Molecule: ribosomal RNA, 343 nt
Filed under: uncultured Chloroflexota bacterium
Lineage: Bacteria; Bacillati; Chloroflexota
Description: bacterial SSU rRNA
Rfam family: Bacterial small subunit ribosomal RNA
Source: RNAcentral